UACGUAGGGGGCAAGCGUUGUCCGGAUUUAUUGGGCGUAAAGAGCGUGUAGGCGGCCAUACAGGUCCGUUGUGAAAACUGGAGGCUUAACCUCCAGACGUCGAUGGAAACCGUAUGGCUAGAGUCCGGAAGAGGAGAGUGGAAUUCCUGGUGUAGCGGUGAAAUGCGCAGAUAUCAGGAGGAACACCAAUAGCGAAGGCAGCUCGCUGGGACGGUACUGACGCUAAGGCGCGAAAGCGUGGGGAGCGAACAGG
RNAcentral lists this ribosomal RNA (253 nucleotides) under uncultured bacterium. RNAcentral describes it as "partial 16S ribosomal RNA". It matches the Rfam family "Bacterial small subunit ribosomal RNA", at positions 524 to 776 of the family's 1533-position model. The record is from RNAcentral.